GUAAAGCUCACAUUUCAAACUCCUCUCUGGUGCCUCUCUAUGGUCGUGGGAUAUCAUCAUUAGAGUCUGAACCCAAGAAGGAUCAGGCAGAUGUAGACAUACCUCAUAGGCCUCGAGCUAUUAGGACGAUGACACCGCAUAAUUCAGACUCUCCAAUCUCUCGCUUACAUCAGAGACUUCGUCAAACUUCUGUCUACCCUCCACGACCCUCCACAUUUCAACAUCACCGGCAAUAUCUCCCCCAAGCCUUUGGUAACUACGCAGCUUUGGCUCCAUCUAGCUUUGGGAGCACAGCAAUGACCAGUUUGUUCAGCCCAGUGGUUGGUGUGUUUGGAGAACUGUUUUCUUCAAGACUGUUUGGAAUCGCUUAUCCUCAUCCUAGAUCUUAUCUCAUCCGAGGACGCAGUGGUCUUAGAAUGAGAAGGGAAGAAAUGCAGAUGGACAAAUUUCUCAACAGAUUGUUCAUCUUUCUUUUCUGCUGCUCUAUCUUGUGCCUACUCCUGUUUUGAGGUUCAUAUAAUGUUUAUCUUCAUCAUAUAUUUGUAUAAAUAUGUGGUUGUGCUUACAACAAUCAGGUAAUAGUUCAUAGUAGACAAAUAUAGACUAGUAAGAGAUUUAGUAGAAAUAUAGCUUUAU
RNAcentral lists this unclassified non-coding RNA (636 nucleotides) under Hevea brasiliensis (rubber tree). Lineage: Eukaryota; Viridiplantae; Streptophyta; Magnoliopsida; Malpighiales; Euphorbiaceae. The record is from RNAcentral.